UCAUACGGCGGGCGGUGCGCGGGGAUCCCGAUCCGCCGGUUAAUGAGUGUCGCGUAGUCCGGUACGCCAACCCGCAUCGCCCGCCACCUUG
This 91-nucleotide non-coding RNA is filed under the name Stenotrophomonas maltophilia. Lineage: Bacteria; Pseudomonadati; Pseudomonadota; Gammaproteobacteria; Lysobacterales; Lysobacteraceae. The record is from RNAcentral.